GAUGAACGCUGGCGGCGUGCUUAACACAUGCAAGUCGAACGGAAAGGCCCCUUUGGGGGUACUCGAGUGGCGAACGGGUGAGUAACACGUGAGUAACCUGCCCUUGACUUCGGGAUAACUUCAGGAAACUGGGGCUAAUACCGGAUAGGAAUCCUUGCUGCAUGGUGGGGGUUGGAAAGCUUCGGCGGUUUUGGAUGGACUCGCGGCUUAUCAGCUUGUUGGUGGGGUAGUGGCUUACCAAGGCUUUGACGGGUAGCCGGCCUGAGAGGGCGACCGGCCACAUUGGGACUGAGAUACGGCCCAGACUCCUACGGGAGGCAGCAGGGGGGAAUAUUGCACAAUGGGCGGAAGCCUGAUGCAGCAACGCCGCGUGCGGGAUGACGGCCUUCGGGUUGUAAACCGCUUUCAGCAGGGGCGAAGCUUGUGGUGACGGUACCUGCAGAAGAAGCACCGGCUAACUACGUG
This 465-nucleotide ribosomal RNA is filed under the name uncultured bacterium. RNAcentral's name for it is "partial 16S ribosomal RNA". It matches the Rfam family "Bacterial small subunit ribosomal RNA", at positions 28 to 507 of the family's 1533-position model. The record is from RNAcentral.